RNAcentral lists this ribosomal RNA (411 nucleotides) under uncultured bacterium. RNAcentral's name for it is "bacterial SSU rRNA". It matches the Rfam family "Bacterial small subunit ribosomal RNA", at positions 620 to 1026 of the family's 1533-position model. The record is from RNAcentral.
ACUGCAUUCGAUACUGCCGCGCUUGAGGACUGGAGAGGAGACUGGAAUUUACGGUGUAGCGGUGAAAUGCGUAGAUAUCGUAAGGAAGACCAGUGGCGAAGGCGGGUCUCUGGACAGUUCCUGACGCUGAGGCACGAAGGCCAGGGGAGCAAACGGGAUUAGAUACCCCGGUAGUCCUGGCAGUAAACGGUGCACGUUUGGUGUGGGAGGAUUCGACCCCUUCUGCGCCGGAGCUAACGCGUUAAACGUGCCGCCUGGGGAGUACGGUCGCAAGAUUAAAACUCAAAGAAAUUGACGAGGGCCCGCACAAGCGGUGGAGUAUGUGGCUCAAUUCGAUGCAACGCGAAGAACCUUACCAGGCCUUGACAUGCAUCUCUAAGUUGGUGAAAGCCAGCGAGUCCCGAAAGGGAC